UGAUAAAGAGGGAAGGAUGGGCCUUUGA
This 28-nucleotide non-coding RNA is filed under the name Rattus norvegicus (Norway rat). The record is from RNAcentral. Lineage: Eukaryota; Metazoa; Chordata; Mammalia; Rodentia; Muridae.